AGAGUUGAUCAUGGCUCAGAACGAACGCUGGCGGCAGGCCUAAAACAUGCAAGUUGAACGGCUGUAGCAAUACAGCAGUAGCGCACGGGUGAGUAAUGUAUGGGAACAUGUCUUUUGGUGGGGAAUAUUCUCUGGAAACGGAGAGCAAUACCGCAUAAGCCCUACGGGGGAAAGAUUUAUCGCCGAUUGAGUGGCCCAUAUUGGAUUAGCUAGUUGGUUGGGUAACGGCUGACCAAGGCGACGAUCCAUAGCUGAUCUGAGAGGAUGAUCAGCCACACUGGGACUGAGACACGGCCCAGACUCCUACGGGAGGCAGCAGUUAGGAAUAUUGGACAAUGGGGGCAACCCUGAUCCAGCCAAUGCCGCGUGAGUGUUAAGGCCUUCGGGUUGUAAAGCUCUUUUGUAUGGGAAAAUGAUGAUGAUACCAUAAGAAUAAGCACCGGCUAACUUCGUGCCAGCAGCAGC
This 465-nucleotide ribosomal RNA is filed under the name uncultured bacterium. RNAcentral describes it as "bacterial SSU rRNA". It matches the Rfam family "Bacterial small subunit ribosomal RNA", at positions 8 to 518 of the family's 1533-position model. The record is from RNAcentral.